This 424-nucleotide ribosomal RNA is filed under the name uncultured bacterium. RNAcentral's name for it is "partial 16S ribosomal RNA". It matches the Rfam family "Bacterial small subunit ribosomal RNA", at positions 360 to 776 of the family's 1533-position model. The record is from RNAcentral.
AAUAUUUGACAAUGGGCGAAAGCCUGAUCUAGCCAUGCCGCGAGUGUGAAGAAGGUCAUCGGAUUNUCAAGCACUCUAAGAUGGAANGAAGGGGUUGAAGCUAAUACCUUAAAUCUUUGACGUUACCAACAGAAUAAUCAACGGCUAACCCUGUUCCAGCAGCCGCGGUAAUACAGAGGGUGCAAGCGUUAAUCGUAAUUACUGGGCGUAAAGCGAGCGUAGGUGGUUCAGUAAGAUGAGAGUGAAGACCCCGGGCUUAACAUGGGAACUGCUUUCAUAACUGCUGAGCUAGAGUACGGUAGAGGGUAGUGGAAUUUCCUGUGUAGCGGUGAAAAGCGUAGAUAUAGGAAGGAACACCAGUGGCGAAGGCGACUACCUGGACUGAUACUGCAACUGAGGUGCGAAAGCGUGGGGAGCAAACAGG